RNAcentral lists this long non-coding RNA (254 nucleotides) under Mytilus galloprovincialis (Mediterranean mussel). Lineage: Eukaryota; Metazoa; Mollusca; Bivalvia; Mytilida; Mytilidae. The record is from RNAcentral.
AUUGAGGGUAUCUGGGCUGAAAAGUAACACGUUCCAUUUAGACUACAAACAGAAUAAAUUCACUAACUUGUCCAUUGCACCGGGAAGAUAAAACCCGAAAUGCCGUGUUUAAAAAGCCACAAACUCGGCACUUUAAAAAAAAAAGCCCUCAAUGAAACCGUUUUCGGAAGAAAUUUAAAAUUGGCUAACAUUUCUGUUAUUACACAACGCUCCAUAAUCGACACAAAUUAAGUUCGAGUUCCAGUUUUAUUUUG